Molecule: ribosomal RNA, 254 nt
Filed under: uncultured bacterium
Lineage: Bacteria
Description: partial 16S ribosomal RNA
Rfam family: Bacterial small subunit ribosomal RNA
Source: RNAcentral
UACAGAGGGUGCGAACGUUGUUCGGAAUUACUGGGCAUAAAGCGCGCGUAGGCGGCUACGUAAGUGUCUUGUGAAAUCCCACGGCUCACCCGUGUGAAUUGUGAGGCAUACUGCGCAGCUAGAGUGUGGUAGGGGAGAGCGGAACUCCUGGUGGAGCGGUGAAAUGCGUAGAUAUCAGGAGGAACACCGGCGGCGAAGGCGGCUCUCUGGUCCACUACUGACGCUGAGGUGCGAAAGCUAGGGUAGCGAACGGG